Molecule: ribosomal RNA, 449 nt
Filed under: uncultured bacterium
Lineage: Bacteria
Description: partial 16S ribosomal RNA
Rfam family: Bacterial small subunit ribosomal RNA
Source: RNAcentral
AACGAACGCUGGCGGCAUGCCUAACACAUGCAAGUCGAACGAGAUCUUCGGGUCUAGUGGCGCACGGGUGCGUAACGCGUGGGAAUCUGCCCUUUGGUUCGGAAUAACAGUUGGAAACGACUGCUAAUACCGGACGAUGACGAAAGUCCAAAGAUUUAUCGCCAGAGGAUGAGCCCGCGUAGGAUUAGCUAGUUGGUGUGGUAAAGGCGCACCAAGGCGACGAUCCUUAGCUGGUCUGAGAGGAUGAUCAGCCACACUGGGACUGAGACACGGCCCAGACUCCUACGGGAGGCAGCAUUGGGAAAUAUUGGACAAUGGGCGAAAGCCUGAUCCAGCAAUGCCGCGUGAGUGAUGAAGGCCUUAGGGUUGUAAAGCUCUUUUACCCGGGGUGAUAAUGACAGUACCGGGAGAAUAAGCUCCGGCUAACUCCGUGCCAGCCGCCGCCGUAA